RNAcentral lists this ribosomal RNA (491 nucleotides) under uncultured bacterium. RNAcentral's name for it is "partial 16S ribosomal RNA". It matches the Rfam family "Bacterial small subunit ribosomal RNA", at positions 29 to 507 of the family's 1533-position model. The record is from RNAcentral.
AGUGAACGCUGGCGGUAGGCCUAACACAUGCAAGUCGAACGGCAGCACAGUAAGAGCUUGCUCUUACGGGUGGCGAGUGGCGGACGGGUGAGGAAUACAUCGGAAUCUACUUUUUCGUGGGGGAUAACGUAGGGAAACUUACGCUAAUACCGCAUACGACCUACGGGUGAAAGCAGGGGAUCUUCGGACCUUGCGCGAUUGAAUGAGCCGAUGUCGGAUUAGCUAGUUGGCGGGGUAAAGGCCCACCAAGGCGACGAUCCGUAGCUGGUCUGAGAGGAUGAUCAGCCACACUGGAACUGAACCACGGUCCAGACUCCUAGGGAAGGCAGCAGUGGGGAAUAUUGGAAAAGGGGGGCAAGCCUGAUCCAGCCAUACCGCGUGGGUGAAGAAGGCCUUGGGUUGUAAAGCCCUUUUGUUGGGAAAGAAAAGCAGCAGGUUAAUACCCCGCUGUUCUGACGGUACCCAAAGAAUAAGCACCGGCUAACUUCGUG